GACGAACGCUGGCGGCGUGCCUAAUACAUGCAAGUUGAACGCUUGAUUUUCACCGAAGCUUGCUUCACCGAAAAUCAAGAGUAGCGAACGGGUGAGUAACGCGUGGGUAACCUACCUUUCAGCGGGGGAUAACUAUUGGAAACGAUAGUUAAUACCGCAUAACAAUGUUGGAUGCAUAUUCGACAUUUGAAAGUACCAAUUGGUACACUGAGAGAUGGACCCGCGUUGUAUUAGCUAGUUGGUAAGGUAACGGCUUACCAAGGCAACGAUACGUAGCCGACCUGAGAGGGUGAUCGGCCACAUUGGGACUGAGACACGGCCCAAACUCCUACGGGAGGCAGCAGUAGGGAAUCUUCGGCAAUGAACGAAAGUCUGACCGAGCAACGCCGCGUGAGUGAAGAAGGUUUUCGGAUCGUAAAACUCUGUUGGUAGAGAAGAACGUUGGUGAGAGUGGAAAGCUCAUCAAGUGACGGUAACUACCCAGAAAGGGACGGCUAACUACGUGCCAGCAGCCGCGGUAAUACGUAGGUCCCGAGCGUUGUCCGGAUUUAUUGGGCGUAAAGCGAGCGCAGGUGGUUUAUUAAGUCUGGUGUAAAAGGCAGUGGCUCAACCAUUGUAUGCAUUGGAAACUGGUAGACUUGAGUGCAGGAGAGGAGAGUGGAAUUC
This 666-nucleotide ribosomal RNA is filed under the name uncultured Lactococcus sp. RNAcentral describes it as "bacterial SSU rRNA". It matches the Rfam family "Bacterial small subunit ribosomal RNA", at positions 28 to 669 of the family's 1533-position model. Lineage: Bacteria; Bacillati; Bacillota; Bacilli; Lactobacillales; Streptococcaceae. The record is from RNAcentral.